Molecule: long non-coding RNA, 1906 nt
Organism: Mesocricetus auratus (golden hamster)
Lineage: Eukaryota; Metazoa; Chordata; Mammalia; Rodentia; Cricetidae
Exons: 2
Source: RefSeq, a predicted model, not a curated record
CACAAAUUACCUAAAACGCAGCACUUACCCACCAAGUGACUGUUAAUUGUGUCCCUCUUGCUGCUGAGAAGAGGAGGCACAGGGGUUAGUUAGCAAGUUACCCAGCUGAAGGUGCCAGAGCUUCAUUUGAACCAGAGACUCACAGUUCCCCGUGCUGGAACUUCCCGGGAGUGGGGUAACCUGGGGUAACCAGCUCUGAGCAGAGUGUUAGGAAGCUAUGGUGAUGCUUAAGGCCUGGGACUAGGAAGAGGAGCGAUACUUCCCUGCUUUGCUUUUCUAAACCAUUGCUCUCCAGUCUGUUGGGAAAGUUACAUUCGGUUAAUAAAUGUGGUUGUUCUAUAAUGAAAACCUUGAAAUCCCGAAAGAUCCCACCCAAUCUGAAAACCUCGCCAUCCACUGGACGAUAUAAAGGAAAACGAAACAUUUGAAAGGUGCCACGGUGUUGACCUCCCUCCCACUGCACUCUCUCUGUUUUUCAAGGACUCUCCACGGAAAACAUGCCAAUAGGAUUCCUGGAGGCAAAAAAGGUGUGCCUAUCAUUUGAUCUAGUAAUCUCCAGGGAAAUCAACAAAAGGAAGUCAAAUGCUACAUAAGAUGUUCAUUUCAGUACUGUGUAUAUAACUGUAGGAGUAGAAGAAACCCGGCUGACCAGCAAUGGAGGAAUACUUCAAUAGGAAUUCAUCUACUUCAUGUAAGACUGUGUGGUCAUUAAACAAAUACUAGAACACACUGUUAAGAUGUGUCUUGCUGAACAGUUCAGUCCUAACCAAUUCAGCUGCCAUCAUGUUCCUGGCACGUGUACAAUGCCACCAGAACUUAAGGGUGAGACAAGAGGGGAGCCACAAGACAAGGGGUGAAGACUUUUGGGUUCCUAGGUUAAUUACCAGGCCCACCUAUGUGACUUCAGCUAUGCUUUGCCAUGCAUUACUACCAGCUACAUGAGGCAGAGGGAUUUCUUCGUUGAUGAGGCAUUCUGCCACUCUAUUGAAGUCAUUGUGGAAACCCUUUUCAGACAGUAAGAGGUAUCCCUAUGUUUCAGUGCAUCUCUCUGCUAUAGAGACUUGUUUUUCAGCUUUGCAGCCCUGAGGUACGUCCCACAUAUGAAUGGAAGUCUUUGUGUCACAAAAGUAAACUCAUCAGCUUCUAUGCCAUGAAGAAGAAAUGUUCAUCUUCUAGGGUGCACACAUGCAAGCCACCUCUUUAAAAUCAGCCCCUUCAACAGCACUGAGCGCGCCUCUGUGUGGGACGUAUCAAUGUCCAUUAAUUGCAGGAAGAAGAGCCGAGAUUCCAAUGGCAAAAUCUGUAAAAGUAGAUGUACAAAGAAAAAAGGAAGCAUCUGUUCAAUCCAUGCGACAUUAGAAUUUAAUUUUACCUCUGCACUGCUUUUGUGGGGCUGCAGUGCUGGAGCAGAGCGCAUAAGCAUGGCCAUGCAGUGUCAGCAGGUGCAUGCCACCAAAUUACUGCUUUUCAUUUGCAUAUUCAUCUGCUAAGAAGCAUGUCAUUAUCAUAUCAAAGGGAUACUAAGCAACAUCUAGCUUGGAGAGAUGUGGCAUAGCUUCAAUAGGAGCAAUUAAUGCAAGAUGAGGACUCUCUGUCAUGUCUCCCAGGGCUUGCUGUAAUCGGGCUGAUUAUUGGAGACCAAUAAGACCAGGGCCCAGUUGGCACCAAACAGGGGAAGAACUGGAAGGAGGCUGCUUGUCCUCUCCACUGUACACUUGACAGCAACAGGAAGCUCUGGUCACUCCAAAGAAUGCAGCUCAUAUUACUCAUGCUGCAGCGAACUCCCAUCUGUUCCUGAUGUUACAAAAUGACCAAACACUGCCUCUAAGUAGUUAUGUAUCAAAAAAAAUUCAAUCUAGCAUCCCAAGAGCACAUAUAAAGAAUGGUGGUGUUAGAGUUGCAUUUA